AAGUCGUAACAAGGUUUCCGUAGGUGAACCUGCGGAAGGAUCAUUAUUGAUUGGUCGAAAGACCUUAUCAGAUUCUACCACCUCUGUGAACUGUUGACCUCCGGGUCUAUUCAAACAUCAGUGUAAUGAACGUAAAUCAUAUAACAAAACAAAACUUUCAACAACGGAUCUCUUGGCUCUC
Molecule: unclassified non-coding RNA, 181 nt
Filed under: air metagenome
Description: partial contains small subunit ribosomal RNA, internal transcribed spacer 1, and 5.8S ribosomal RNA
Rfam family: Eukaryotic small subunit ribosomal RNA (bases 1-46)
Source: RNAcentral